AUGGACUGAACGACGUAGUAUAACAGAACAAACGAAAAUGAGAUCGUCGAGAUCAUAUAUCGUUGUAUGUCUAUCGACGUUUGAUUCUGUGUUUUUGUUUUUUUUUCUCCUUGUUGUUUG
RNAcentral lists this non-coding RNA (120 nucleotides) under Fragilariopsis kerguelensis. The record is from RNAcentral. Lineage: Eukaryota; Bacillariophyta; Bacillariophyceae; Bacillariales; Bacillariaceae.